CAGAUAGCAGGGCAGGUCUGCAUCAGCCGACCGCAUCCCAGGUUAGAGCAUGCUCAGAGCUUGUCACAGGGAGGGCUGGGCCUGUAAGGGGGGCUGGGAUCAGCCCCACCUGUGUCCAGUGUUCCUCCUAAGUGGGGUGCCCAUGUGAUGGGUUCAGGCUUGGGCCAGGCGGCUGGGGAUCAUGUGAUGGUAGCCAAGGCAGGGCUACGUGUGAGGGGGCCUGUUCUCUCAGAGAUGGGAGAUCGGGGCUGGGAACUGGAAGGCCUGGGGCAGACCUUAUACAAGGGUUGCUGAGGGCUGGGAAAGAGGCUGUCCCUACCAGCCAGAGGGAGAGGCCUGGCUACAGCUACCUGCAGUGAGCCACAACAGCAAAAACCUUCCAAGGGAAUUAUGAGCCUGGAGGAACCAAAUGGACUGUGGCACCCAGGCUGGGCCUAGUGAGCUGGUGAGCCUGGGGAAGGUGGCUGAGAGUCUAGCUCGGAGUUAAACUGCUCUCGUUCGGUCAAUAAAGCAAGCCCCUCAUGGAGGAGUAACUUUAAAGCACCAGAUGACGUGGUUUGACUAAGGAAGGAGGAAGCUGAGGCAGUCGGGGGACUGACACUGGGUGAGCACAGGACUGCUGUAUGCCGAGAAAAAGCCCUCAGUGACAAGUCCAGAUUUGAGCUAAUUCCUUGGGAACAGUGUCUGGAAAGUCUCAGAGAAAAAUCCCAACACUCAGAGGGCAUGAAAAUGUCUCCACAGCUGGAGUCAAGUCUCCUCCGGUGAUGCCAGCUUCCAACACUGCAAGCAGUGACUGACUUGGUCCAUAGGUGAGUUUCCUGAGGUGAGGGAGAUGGGCUGCAGUGGGACCAGAAAGACCUUACCCUGGUGGUCUGGCACUGAGUCGAAAACACCACUCUUGCAAAUGGGUCUGAAAGGCCAUUGUCGUCAGCAGGCAGGAUCCCCCGAGCCUGGUACAAGUGAGCUCGCAGCUGGAAGUAACUGAAGUCUGGCAAGAAAAAGCAGAAAUCACUGGGCUGCUAUGAGAUCAGAGUAGUUAUGCCCUUAGCACUCUUGGGAGAGAGUUUCUAGGCAGACCCAGAGAGAGAGGGCGUGGCCCUCUGAGGUGAGAAGGGCAGGGGACAGCACCUUUACAGGUGUCUGCUGAAGUGCUUUGGAUCAGUAUAUCAACAUGGCUUGGGCCAGGCAGUCCACUUUUGGUUAAUUUCUUUGUCCCCAGUGACAACAAGUCUUUGGGUGGUUAAUUUUGGAGUGAUUUGUAAUGAACAUGAGCCCCUCAGAGCUGCAUCACAGCAAAGCCAAUGAAUUACUGGACAGAUCUUGAGCAGGUCACACACCCUAGAAAUCGGAGCCCAGUCAGUGACUCUCCAGUAGCUUAUGAAGUCACAGUGCCCCUUUCUCACUGGGGGGGUCCCUGUGACAUUCUGCCAGAACUUUAAACCUUAGAGCAGUGGUUCUCAACCAGCAGCCCAAGGGCCACUUACGGCCCAAUCAGCACACAGCUGUGGCCCAUGUGACAUCCUCAGGGCCAUAGAGGUAGCAUUGGAUGAGGCCCACAAUGGCAAAUAGGUUGAGAACCACUGCCCUAGGGACACAGGUUGUCUAUGGUAGGCUCAGGUGCCAUGCUCUCUCUGCCCUCCACGCUAGCAGGUCUAUGCCAUCCGUACAGAAGGAGACGGCAGCACUCUAAAUGCUGCUGUGGCAAACACACGUUCCCACAAGCCAAAAAGGCUCUUGGCAAAGCCCACAUCCAGGUGCCCAGACAGGACUCGCUCAGCUCACCGCUCUCUCAUUUGUUUUCACUUUAGCCUCCAGUGGGACUGUAGAGUAACCAGUGCAAUCAGGGCAGCUUGUGCUCACCGUCCCUGCUGAGCCGGCUAGGGGGCAUGUGCGAUGGGAGCCGCGCUGUCUGCUGGCCACUCUCAUAGACGGGCUUGAACUCCUCGGGCAGUUCUGCAGUGCUGUUCUUCACGUACUUGGUCACCCCCAGCCACAUAUAGAUCUCUAGUUUCGCAAAGAUCUCUCCGGUGCGUGACCCUGGGACCUUGGAGUGCAGAAUGUUAGUUUCACUUCCCAUCCAGACCCACAGGCCAUCAGCCCAGCAGUGACUAUAUCACAUGCCGGUGAUUAGCAGUGCACCAUCACUGUGCCUGCAGCUUUACACGUGGGUAUGAAGGGCAGCUGGGCGGGGACCAAAUUUUCUGUUUCUUGGGAAAUUCCACAAUCUCAAAAAAAAUGUUAUGUUCCAGAAGGAAACCAAAACUUUCAAAAUUUCACAUGAAACAAAAUUAAAAAAAAAAAGUGCUUCAAAAUCAAAAUAUUUUGUU
Molecule: non-coding RNA, 2327 nt
Organism: Chrysemys picta bellii (western painted turtle)
Lineage: Eukaryota; Metazoa; Chordata; Testudines; Emydidae
Source: RefSeq, a predicted model, not a curated record